RNAcentral lists this ribosomal RNA (777 nucleotides) under uncultured Neocallimastigales. RNAcentral describes it as "partial large subunit ribosomal RNA". It matches the Rfam family "Eukaryotic large subunit ribosomal RNA", at positions 22 to 645 of the family's 3401-position model. The record is from RNAcentral. Lineage: Eukaryota; Fungi; Neocallimastigomycota; Neocallimastigomycetes; Neocallimastigales.
AUAUCAGUCAUGCAUAGCAUAUCAAUAAGCGGAGGAAAAGAAACUAACAAGGAUCCCCUUAGUAACGGCGAGUGAAGCGGGAAGAGCUCAAAUUUGAAAUCUUCAAGGUUCUACCUUGACGAAUUGUAGUUUAUAGAAGUGUUUUCUGUUAGUGGAGUGGCAAAAGUUCUUUGGAAUAGGACAUCAUAGAGGGUGAGAAUCCCGUAUUUGAUCACUUUCUACUAACGUUGUGAUACACUUUCAAAGAGUCGGACUGUUUGGGAAUGCAGUCCAAAAUGGGUGGUAAAUUUCAUCUAAAGCUAAAUAUUGGCGAGAGACCGAUAGCGAACAAGUACCGUGAGGGAAAGAUGAAAAGAACUUUGAAAAGAGAGUUAAACAGUACGUGAAAUUGUCAAAAGGGAAGCGUUUGACACCAGUGUUGUUUUCUCGAAAAUCAAUUAAAAAUGGCUUGAUUUUGUGUUGUAUUGACUUUAUCGGCUUUCUGCACUUUUUUCAUGUCUUUCUUAAUGCACUUUUCGUUUAACAAGUCAACAUCAAUUUCUUUUGUUGUAAAAGGGUAAUAGGAAGGUGGCUUUACUUUCGGAGUAAAGUGUUUAUAGCCUUUGACUCUGCAAUCGGAGAGAUUGAGGUCUGCAGCGUAGAUCCUUCGGGGUUAGAUAGCAUUUGUGCUAAGUUAUAGCUUUCAUAGACAACUUGUUGACUAUGAUUAGUCAUUGUAGCUUACUCGCUUACUGCUAUUUUACCUACGCUUAGGAUGUUGAUCUCUCACAGUCGAGC